Molecule: ribosomal RNA, 273 nt
Filed under: uncultured bacterium
Lineage: Bacteria
Description: partial 16S ribosomal RNA
Rfam family: Bacterial small subunit ribosomal RNA
Source: RNAcentral
AACGUAGGAGGCGAACGUUAUCCGGAUUUACUGGGCGUAAAGCGCAUGCAGGCGGUUUCUUAAGUCGGACGUGAAAGCUCCUGGCUCAACUGGGAGAGGUCGUUCGAAACUGGGGAACUUGAGGAUGGUAGAGGAGAGUGGAAUUCCCGGUGUAGUGGUGAAAUGCGUAGAUAUCGGGAGGAACACCAGUGGCGAAGGCGGCUCUCUGGGCCAUUCCUGACGCUAAGAUGCGAAAGCUAGGGGAGAGAACGGGAUUAGAAACCCCAGUAGUCC